Paramormyrops kingsleyae is the source of this 555-nucleotide non-coding RNA. Lineage: Eukaryota; Metazoa; Chordata; Actinopteri; Osteoglossiformes; Mormyridae. The record is from RefSeq and is a predicted model, not a curated record.
CAUGACCUAAAUUACAGCAGUCAAAUGAAAAUUGCUGCAUGCUCAAGCUUGUUCUGUUCACAUGACCAUUAAAUACUGAGUGACUAACUAUUAUGGAGUCUAUACAAGAAAACAUGAAGUUUUGUGGAAAACCUGACUAAAGUCCUACUGAGGUUAAGCUCCCCAUUGUACACUGAAUAAUUCAUAUUUGACACAGAAACUGUCAGUGGCAAAAAGCCACAGCUAUUCUUAACAGAGCUUCCCUUGGGCACGGAUUCAGCUGUUUCAGCAGAAUGACCGCUAAAUUAAAUGCGCCUAGUUAAAAAGCCCGGUGAAGACUAAACCAUUGCAAGGGGUGAGGGUGCUUUUCCUCAGGCACUGUAAGCUAGGAAACAAUUCAAUCCGUCAACCGAUUUAUUUUCCCACAAAAAUUACAUUUACAUUAGUUACCAACAUUUAUUGUGAUCUUUGAAUAAUAUUAAUGUUUAAAGGAAAAUAAAAUUCCAGAUUCCUUAGGGGCCCUCCCCCCAAAUGGGGCCCUGGUAACUCAGUCCCCUUUUUCCCCCCACUACGACG